This 485-nucleotide ribosomal RNA is filed under the name uncultured bacterium. RNAcentral describes it as "partial 16S ribosomal RNA". It matches the Rfam family "Bacterial small subunit ribosomal RNA", at positions 30 to 507 of the family's 1533-position model. The record is from RNAcentral.
AUUGAACGCUGGCGGCAUGCCUUACACAUGCAAGUCGAACGGCAGCACGGGUGCUUGCACCUGGUGGCGAGUGGCGAACGGGUGAGUAAUACAUCGGAACAUGUCCUGUAGUGGGGGAUAGCCCGGCGAAAGCCGGAUUAAUACCGCAUACGAUCUACGGAUGAAAGCGGGGGACCUUCGGGCCUCGCGCUAUAGGGUUGGCCGAUGGCUGAUUAGCUAGUUGGUGGGGUAAAGGCCUACCAAGGCGACGAUCAGUAGCUGGUCUGAGAGGACGACCAGCCACACUGGGACUGAGACACGGCCCAGACUCCUACGGGAGGCAGCAGUGGGGAAUUUUGGAAAUGGGCGAAAGCCUGAUCCAGCAAUGCCGCGUGUGUGAAGAAGGCCUUCGGGUUGUAAAGCACUUUUGUCCGGAAAGAAAUCCUUGGCCCUAAUACGGUCGGGGGAUGACGGUACCGGAAGAAUAAGCACCGGCUAACUACGUG